GAAACGAACGCUAAUACCGCAUAACGUAGUCGAUCGGCAUCGAUUGACUACCAAAGGAGCAAUCCGCUGAAAGAUGGGCUCGCGUCCGAUUAGAUAGUUGGCGGGGUAACGGCCCACCAAGUCGACGAUCGGUAGCCGGACUGAGAGGUUGAUCGGCCACAUUGGGACUGAGACACGGCCCAGACUCCUACGGGAGGCAGCAGUGGGGAAUAUUGCACAAUGGGGGAAACCCUGAUGCAGCGACGCCGCGUGAGGGAAGAAGGUUUUCGGAUUGUAAACCUCUGUCCUUGGUGACGAUAAUGACGGUAGCCAAGGAGGAAGCCACGGCUAACUACGUGCCAGCAGCCGCGGUAAUACGUAGGUGGCAAGCGUUGUCCGGAAUUACUGGGUGUAAAGGGAGCGUAGGCGGGAAAGCAAGUUGAAUGUUUAAACUAUCGGCUCAACCGAUAAUCGCGUUCAAAACUGUUUUUCUUGAGUGAAGUAGAGGUAGGCGGAAUUCCUAGUGUAGCGGUGAAAUGCGUAGAUAUUAGGAGGAACACCAGUGGCGAAGGCGGCCUACUGGGCUUUAACUGACGCUGAGGCUCGAAAGCGUGGGUAGCAAACAGGAUUAGAUACCCUGGUAGUCCACGCCGUAAACGAUGAUUACUAGGUGUGGGGGGACU
Molecule: ribosomal RNA, 662 nt
Filed under: uncultured bacterium
Lineage: Bacteria
Description: bacterial SSU rRNA
Rfam family: Bacterial small subunit ribosomal RNA
Source: RNAcentral